UGUCAGCUGUCAGUACUGUUUCUCCGUCUGACUCUAUUGAGUCUGGACUUGUGUGUGUGUGUGUGUGUGUGUGUGUGUGUGUGUGUGUGCUGCCUCCAGCCCCCCGGCCCGGGGCCCUUCUGUCAGGGCGCCCUCUGCAGUGACCACGAGUUGCGUGCCGAGGACAGGUCAGCGGAGGAAUCGGCUGCUUCUGUGGUGGCCGUUUUUUCGCCGACAAGUCAACAGGUCAACGGGAGCUUUAGGCGAGGGGGCUGUGACCCCGACGACUCGGGACCGCCUGACAGGCCGCGGACGUCCCGCGCGACUCCAGACUUUCGACAGACGUGUGCCGACCUCAGACAGACGUGUGCCGACCAGGGACAGACGUGUGCCGACCAGAGACGGACGUGUGCCGACCAGGGAGACGCCGACCGAGCAGCGUGUGCCGACCAGAGACGGACGUGUGCCGACCAGAGCGGGCGUGUGCCGACCAGGGACAGCGUGUGCCGACCAGGGACGUGCCGACCAGAGACGGACGUGUGCCGACCAGAGACGGACGUGUGCCGACCAGAGACAGACGUGUGCCGACCAGAGACGGACGUGUGCCGACCAGAGACGGACGUGUGCCGACCAGAGACGGACGUGUGCCGACCAGAGACGGACGUGUGCCUGCGGCUCCUCCUCCAGCGGAAGGUCGGGGCCAGAAGACUGUGUGCGCGAAACGCAGAGUGACUUCCAGUGACCCGAGAGACUAAAGUGAAAAAGUGGCUCACCGCUCACCAGAACUCUCGGCUCCGGACCAACUGGAAAAAGAGUGAUUAUAUAUAUAUAUAUAUAUAUAUAUAUAUAUUCGACGAGUGGCAGCGAGAGCCCGGCCUCCUCUGACUCACUUAGUCGAUUCGCUGAGGAGGAUCAAUCCCAGGCGUGACUUAAGUGGACUCAGAUUAUGUGAUCGCAGGCUCCAAACACACGAUUGUGCAGUGAAACCAAAUUACGCACAGACCAACAUCUUGCGCGGUAAUAGGGUUUUCCAGGAACAGGCCAAAUGCACAUGUGAGAUUGGUUAGAGGGGAGGAAGAAAAAAUAACAGUAUAGUACGAUUCAGACUCCUUCAGCCCGGAUGGGUAAAAAAAAAGAAAAGGUGUGAAUUUAGUCAAUGCUACUAAUAUGCUAAUCAAACAAGCCCUAUAAUACUGUGAUGACAUCGGAAAAGCAUUCUGUUGUUAAGUGUGUUGGCUCCCACGGAAAUGUGCUGGUUAUUAUGGGAAAUCUGCCUCCCAGCAAUAUUUGGCCUGUCAGAGAAUUUUGAGCCCACAUUGGUUUUUUCAAAGGAUUGAAACUAUAACCAGUUGUUCUUGUUUUUUUGGGUUUUUUUAUUUAUAGUGAUCGACGAACAACAAGGCCACUGCUUAACCUCCCCCAUCAUCGUUGAUCUUCCUCUUCAGUGCCUCGGUGUUCACGUCAAGAUAUAUAUAGAUACAUAUAUAUAUAUAGAUAUAUAGAUAUCUAUAUAUAUAUAGAUAUAUAUAUUUGCCCAGUUAUUGAACCAUUUCCAUCAAUGGCGUCUUGGCGUGUCCAGCUCUGACCUCACGUGUCCAGGAAGUGUUUCAUUUGAGAGUCUGGGAUCCAUCAGUGUUACUCAGUUUCAUUCAGUGACGAAUGGAAAGAGUUGCGUAUUAGUCGGCAGUCGGCUCUUCCCGCUGAGGACGGGAUGGGAAAAGUUUUGUUUCAUGACACUGAAACCACAACACUUUCCUCACAUGCUCCAGAUAUUCCACAUCACCGAGCUGUGCGGUGAUUCACAAAAAAAAAAAAGGGCUAUUAAUGUUUAAAACCAAGGUCGAAAGGGUAUUUUUCCUUGAGUUCUUUAUCACACACACACACACACACACACACACACACACACACACACACACAAACACUGUGGGAUUUGCCACAUUAUAUAAAACAUAAAUUAAGGGGUAGAAAAACUGAACCAAAGCCACGAUAAUAAUAAAGCAAACCAAAAGACAUGUAAACUGUAUAAAAUAUUAAAAAAAUUAAAAAUUAAAAAACUGUAUAAAGAGUGAGGAAUGAGCUUUCUGAAUGAGCUUUCAAUAAAAAUGAGUUUAACAAGGUGUGUGUGUGUGUGUGUGUGUGUGUGUGUGUGUGCUGCAGACAUUAAGUUCAGUGGUGUUUAAAAUUUACUUGGCAAAUGUCCAGAUGGAGCUAAAUUCUGUGGAGAUGUACAGUAGGAAAUGGCACUAUGAUAGAGGCAGCAGCUCUUUCACUCAAUAACUAUAACGUCAUCUGCUCGAGCAGCCAUGACCAGCCACAGCAGGUCGGUCAAGCUUGGGUUCCC
Molecule: long non-coding RNA, 2320 nt
Filed under: Scophthalmus maximus (turbot)
Lineage: Eukaryota; Metazoa; Chordata; Actinopteri; Pleuronectiformes; Scophthalmidae
Description: lncRNA (ENSSMAG00000026215.1)
Source: RNAcentral